AUUGCUUUUCUGCCUUUUGGCUAAGAUCAAGUGUAGUAUCUGUUCUUAUCAGAAGAGGGGUCUCUGACUCUCCAGAUGGGGUUGAUUAUGAAGCUUCAUCCUCU
Xenopus tropicalis (tropical clawed frog) is the source of this 104-nucleotide small nuclear RNA. Its record names the gene U2. It matches the Rfam family "U2 spliceosomal RNA". From Rfam's summary of the family: U2 is a small nuclear RNA (snRNA) component of the spliceosome (involved in pre-mRNA splicing). Complementary binding between U2 snRNA (in an area lying towards the 5' end but 3' to hairpin I) and the branchpoint sequence (BPS) of the intron results the bulging out of an unpaired adenosine, on the BPS, which initiates a nucleophilic attack at the intronic 5' splice site, thus starting the first of two transesterification reactions that mediate splicing. The record is from Ensembl. Lineage: Eukaryota; Metazoa; Chordata; Amphibia; Anura; Pipidae.